This 375-nucleotide unclassified non-coding RNA is filed under the name uncultured Holophagae bacterium. RNAcentral's name for it is "contains 16S-23S intergenic spacer region". The record is from RNAcentral. Lineage: Bacteria; Pseudomonadati; Acidobacteriota; Holophagae.
UCCGAGUUGACCCCGGCAGUCUCCACAGAGUCCUCGGCUUUACCCGUUAGUAACUGUGAACAAGGGUUGCGCUCGUUGCGGGACUUAACCCAACAUCUCGCGACACGAGCUGACGACAGCCAUGCAGCACCUCUAUACAGACCUCCGAAGAGGGGCUCUCAUCUCUGAGACUUUCCUGUACAGUUCAAACCCAGGUAAGGUUCUGCGCGUUGCUUCGAAUUAAACCACAUGCUCCACCGCUUGUGCGGGCCCCCGUCAAUUCCUUUGAGUUUCAGUCUUGCGACCGUACUCCCCAGGCGGAGUGCUUAAUGUGUUAGCUGCGGCACCGAGGCAAAGCCCCAACACCUAGUGAUCAUCGUUUAUGGCCAAGACUAC